Long non-coding RNA from Gallus gallus (chicken), 973 nucleotides. The record is from Ensembl. Lineage: Eukaryota; Metazoa; Chordata; Aves; Galliformes; Phasianidae.
CCACAGACAUGCUAAUGUGCUUAGAGGACUGAUGUUCAGAUUUUGCAGAAGUUGGGGGCCAGAAGUAACUAACAGAUGGGGAGGUUGCAGCCAUGUGUGAAUGAGCUUGACAGAGAUGCAUCUGAAACGAGGAAUGCUGGAACUGGAAGGAUCUUUUGAAUAUGCAGAAACUAAAAAGGGAGAAACCAAACAGAAAGAAAAAAAAGCAUGGCUAGCUUCACGUAGAGAUGGAUUUUCCGUUCCACAGAAACUAAUUUGCCUCCAAUGCAAAUUCUCUGUUGAAAGGAUGUGCCUACACUGCAGCUGAAAAUGCUUCUGACAUAGGUUAUGUGGGUACUAAAGCAGUAUGGGCAGCCAAAUAACAGUAACAGCAAAACUGAAAUCACAGAGAUCUACUAUUAGAAAUGCAAUCGAGGGUUCCCUGUCCAAUUCUGAAACACCCGGUUUCCCGGCGUUUAGGUUUGCAUUGCACUAAAUGUGUUAGCGACAGUUUCCACUUUUAUUUUUGAAGGUAUGCAGUACAUGGUGCUUUUGGUCUUACUGUUACAAUGCAGUCCUUGUGCACUUCUGUCCUUGUGACAGAAACUGGAUCCCCUCUGCAGUAUCAAAGCUUCUGCUUAAGUACACGGCACGUGCAGUGACAGUGCAGAGGUUUUAGGGCAUUCAGUAUAUUUUCACUGUGAACUGCUAAGGGAAUAAGGAUUUGCCUACACACACGAAUAUUCCAGAACAACAACAACAAAUUAUGUAUGGAGACUUUUCUGGUAUUGCCCCAUGAUUUGGAGUCUGGCAGUAUAAAUAACUGUGAAUAGCCUUCUCAAUCAUUAGCUUCUGAGACAGCCCAGGAACUACUAGCAAUUGUCAUUGCUGUGUGUGACUUGUGGUAAUACCGUCACCCGAAAUCUACAUUAAAAUUAACAUUUCAUCGGGGAAGGAACACGACUUCUGACAGCUCUUGUGAAUUAACUCUGAG